AAUUCCAAGCUUCGCGGCCUAUCAGCUUGUUGGUGGGGUAAUGGCCUACCAAGGCGGCGACGGGUAGCCGGCCUGAGAGGGUGUACGGCCACAUUGGGACUGAGAUACGGCCCAGACUCCUACGGGAGGCAGCAGUGGGGAAUAUUGCACAAUGGGCGCAAGCCUGAUGCAGCGACGCCGCGUGGGGGAUGAAGGCCUUCGGGUUGUAAACUCCUUUCGCUAGGGACGAAGCUUUGUGUGACGGUACCUAGAUAAGAAGCACCGGCUAACUACGUGCCAGCAGCCGCGGUAAUACGUAGGGUGCGAGCGUUGUCCGGAAUUACUGGGCGUAAAGGGCUCGUAGGUGGUUUGUCGCGUCGUCUGUGAAAUUCUGGGGCUUAACUCCGGGCGUGCAGGCGAUACGGGCAUAACUUGAGUACUGUAGGGGUAACUGGAAUUCCUGGUGUAGCGGUGAAAUGCGCAGAUAUCAGGAGGAACACCGAUGGCGAAGGCAGGUUACUGGGCAGUUACUGACGCUGAGGAGCGAAAGCAUGGGUAGCGAACAGGAUUAGAUACCCUGGUAGUCCAUGCCGUAAACGGUGGGCGCUAGGUGUGAGGGUCUUUCUACGACUUUCGUGCCGUAGCUAACGCAUUAAGCGCCCCGCCUGGGGAGUACGGAGAU
This 661-nucleotide ribosomal RNA is filed under the name uncultured Corynebacterium sp. RNAcentral describes it as "bacterial SSU rRNA". It matches the Rfam family "Bacterial small subunit ribosomal RNA", at positions 220 to 889 of the family's 1533-position model. The record is from RNAcentral. Lineage: Bacteria; Bacillati; Actinomycetota; Actinomycetes; Mycobacteriales; Corynebacteriaceae.